Molecule: ribosomal RNA, 253 nt
Filed under: uncultured bacterium
Lineage: Bacteria
Description: partial 16S ribosomal RNA
Rfam family: Bacterial small subunit ribosomal RNA
Source: RNAcentral
GACGAGCCUCACAAACGUUAUUCGGAAUCACUGGGCUUAAAGGGUGCGUAGGCGGUGCGGAGAGUCGGGUGUGAAAUACCUCAGCUUAACUGAGGAACUGCACUCGAUACUUCCGUGCUAGAGUAAGACAGAGGUAAGUGGAACUGAGGGUGGAGCGGUGAAAUGCGUUGAUAUCCUCAGGAACACCGGUGGCGAAGGCGACUUACUGGGUCUUUACUGACGCUGAUGCACGAAAGCCAGGGUAGCAAACGGG